AUGGCUCAGAUUGAACGCUGGCGGCAGGCCUAACACAUGCAAGUCGAACGGUAACAGGAAGAAGCUUGCUUCUUUGCUGACGAGUGGCGGACGGGUGAGUAAUGUCUGGGAAACUGCCUGAUGGAGGGGGAUAACUACUGGAAACGGUAGCUAAUACCGCAUAACGUCGCAAGACCAAAGAGGGGGACCUUCGGGCCUCUUGCCAUCGGAUGUGCCCAGAUGGGAUUAGCUAGUAGGUGGGGUAACGGCUCACCUAGGCGACGAUCCCUAGCUGGUCUGAGAGGAUGACCAGCCACACUGGAACUGAGACACGGUCCAGACUCCUACGGGAGGCAGCAGUGGGGAAUAUUGCACAAUGGGCGCAAGCCUGAUGCAGCCAUGCCGCGUGUAUGAAGAAGGCCUUCGGGUUGUAAAGUACUUUCAGCGGGGAGGAAGGGAGUAAAGUUAAUACCUUUGCUCAUUGACGUUACCCGCAGAAGAAGCACCGGCUAACUCCGUGCCAGCAGCCGCGGUAAUACGGAGGGAGCAACGCGUUAAUCGGAAUUACUGUGCGCAAAGCGCACGCAGGCGGUUUGUUAAGUCAGAUGUGAAAUCCCCGGGCUCAACCUGGGAACUGCAUCUGAUACUGGCAAGCUUGAGUCUCGUAGAGGGGGGUAGAAUUCCAGGUGUAGCGGUGAAAUGCGUAGAGAUCUGGAGGAAUACCGGUGGCGAAGGCGGCCCCCUGGACGAAGACUGACGCUCAGGUGCGAAAGCGUGGGGAGCAAACAGGAUUAGAUACCCUGGUAGUCCACGCCGUAAACGAUGUCGACUUGGAGGUUGUGCCCUUGAGGCGUGGCUUCCGGAGCUAACGCGUUAAGUCGACCGCCUGGGGAGUACGGCCGCAAGGUUAAAACUCAAAUGAAUUGACGGGGGCCCGCACAAGCGGUGGAGCAUGUGGUUUAAUUCGAUGCAACGCGAAGAACCUUACCUGGUCUUGACAUCCACGGAAGUUUUCAGAGAUGAGAAUGUGCCUUCGGGAACCGUGAGACAGGUGCUGCAUGGCUGUCGUCAGCUCGUGUUGUGAAAUGUUGGGUUAAGUCCCGCAACGAGCGCAACCCUUAUCCUUUGUUGCCAGCGGUCCGGCCGGGAACUCAAAGGAGACUGCCAGUGAUAAACUGGAGGAAGGUGGGGAUGACGUCAAGUCAUCAUGGCCCUUACGACCAGGGCUACACACGUGCUACAAUGGCGCAUACAAAGAGAAGCGACCUCGCGAGAGCAAGCGGACCUCAUAAAGUGCGUCGUAGUCCGGAUUGGAGUCUGCAACUCGACUCCAUGAAGUCGGAAUCGCUAGUAAUCGUGGAUCAGAAUGCCACGGUGAAUACGUUCCCGGGCCUUGUACACACCGCCCGUCACACCAUGGGAGUGGGUUGCAAAAGAAGUAGGUAGCUUAACCUUCGGGAGGGCGCUUACCACUUUGUGAUUCAUGACUGGGGUGAAGUCGUAACAAGGUAACCGUAGGGGAACCUGCGGU
This 1510-nucleotide ribosomal RNA is filed under the name uncultured Gammaproteobacteria bacterium. RNAcentral's name for it is "bacterial SSU rRNA". It matches the Rfam family "Bacterial small subunit ribosomal RNA". The record is from RNAcentral. Lineage: Bacteria; Pseudomonadati; Pseudomonadota; Gammaproteobacteria.